GUGGGGAAUAUUGCACAAUGGGCGCAAGCCUGAUGCAGCCAUGCCGCGUGUGUGAAGAAGGCCUUCGGGUUGUAAAGCACUUUCAGCGGGGAGGAAGGCGGUGAGGUUAAUAACCUCACCGAUUGACGUUACCCGCAGAAGAAGCACCGGCUAACUCCGUGCCAGCAGCCGCGGUAAUACGGAGGGUGCAAGCGUUAAUCGGAAUUACUGGGCGUAAAGCGCACGCAGGCGGUCUGUCAAGUCGGAUGUGAAAUCCCCGGGCUCAACCUGGGAACUGCAUUCGAAACUGGCAGGCUAGAGUCUUGUAGAGGGGGGUAGAAUUCCAGGUGUAGCGGUGAAAUGCGUAGAGAUCUGGAGGAAUACCGGUGGCGAAGGCGGCCCCCUGGACAAAGACUGACGCUCAGGUGCGAAAGCGUGGGGAGCAAACAGGAUUAGAAACCCCGGUAGUCC
This 450-nucleotide ribosomal RNA is filed under the name uncultured bacterium. RNAcentral describes it as "partial 16S ribosomal RNA". It matches the Rfam family "Bacterial small subunit ribosomal RNA", at positions 354 to 796 of the family's 1533-position model. The record is from RNAcentral.